UAGGGAAUCUUCCGCAAUGGACGCAAGUCUGACGGAGCAACGCCGCGUGAGCGAUGAAGGUCUUCGGAUCGUAAAGCUCUGUUGUCAGGGAAGAACACGUGUGAGAGUAACUGCUCACACCUUGACGGUACCUGACCAGAAAGCCACGGCUAACUACGUGCCAGCAGCCGCGGUAAUACGUAGGUGGCAAGCGUUGUCCGGAAUUAUUGGGCGUAAAGGGCUCGCAGGCGGUCCCUUAAGUCUGAUGUGAAAUCUUGCGGCUUAACCGCAAGCGGUCAUUGGAAACUGGGGGACUUGAGUACAGAAGAGGAGAGUGGAAUUCCACGUGUAGCGGUGAAAUGCGUAGAGAUGUGGAGGAACACCAGUGGCGAAGGCGGCUCUCUGGUCUGUAACUGACGCU
This 400-nucleotide ribosomal RNA is filed under the name uncultured bacterium. RNAcentral describes it as "bacterial SSU rRNA". It matches the Rfam family "Bacterial small subunit ribosomal RNA", at positions 355 to 747 of the family's 1533-position model. The record is from RNAcentral.